UUCCNNNANAAAAAAAAAAGANUCNUCGACGGGUGAGNAACACGUGGGUAACCUGCCCUGUACACACGGAUAUUUACCGAAAGGUAUACUAAUACGGGAUAACAUACGAAAGUCGCAUGGCUUUUGUAUCAAAGCUCCGGCGGUACAGGAUGGACCCGCGUCUGAUUAGCUAGUUGGUAAGGUAAUGGCUUACCAAGGCAACGAUCAGUAGCCGACCUGAGAGGGUGAUCGGCCACACUGGNAACUGAGACACGGUCCAGACUCCUACGGGAGGCAGCAGUGGGGAAUAUUGCACAAUGGGCGAAAGCCUGAUGCAGCAACGCCGCGUGAGCGAUGAAGGCCUUCGGGUCGUAAAGCUCUGUCCUCAAGGAAGAUAAUGACGGUACUUGAGGAGGAAGCCCCGGCUAACUACGUGCCAGCAGCCGCGGUAAUACGUAGGGGGCUAGCGUUAUCCGGAAUUACUGGGCGUAAAGGGUGCGUAGGUGGUUUUUUAAGUCAGAAGUGAAAGGCUACGGCUCAACCGUAGUAAGCUUUUGAAACUAGAGAACUUGAGUGCAGGAGAGGAGAGUAGAAUUCCUAGUGUAGCGGUGAAAUGCGUAGAUAUUAGGAGGAAUACCAGUAGCGAAGGCGGCUCUCUGGACUGUAACUGACACUGAGGCACGAAAGCGUGGGGAGCAAACAGGAUUAGAUACNCUGGUAGUCCACGCCGUAAACGAUGAGUACUAGGUGUCGGGGGUACNGAAANCGGUNNUCUCUNCNCAANNGANCCCCUGNAAAUCGGAGAUUUCCCUUCGGGGACAGUGGUGACAGGUGGUGCAUGGUUGUCGUCAGCUCGUGUCGUGAGAUGUUGGGUUAAGUCCCGCAACGAGCGCAACCCUUGCCUUUAGUUGCCAGCAUUAAGUUGGGCACUCUAGAGGGACUGCCGAGGAUAACUCGGAGGAAGGUGGGGAUGACGUCAAAUCAUCAUGCCCCUUAUGCUUAGGGCUACACACGUGCUACAAUGGGUGGUACAGAGGGUUGCCAAGCCGCGAGGUGGAGCUAAUCCCUUAAAGCCAUUCUCAGUUCGGAUUGUAGGCUGAAACUCGCCUACAUGAAGCUGGAGUUACUAGUAAUCGCAGAUCAGAAUGCUGCGGUGAAUGCGUUNACCGGGUCUUGUACACACCGCCCGUCACACCAUGGAAGUUGGGGCGNGNAAACCGUUUCUNCNUUUAGNNGA
RNAcentral lists this ribosomal RNA (1216 nucleotides) under Clostridium sp. NB 72. RNAcentral describes it as "partial 16S ribosomal RNA". It matches the Rfam family "Bacterial small subunit ribosomal RNA", at positions 74 to 1446 of the family's 1533-position model. Lineage: Bacteria; Bacillati; Bacillota; Clostridia; Eubacteriales; Clostridiaceae. The record is from RNAcentral.